RNAcentral lists this ribosomal RNA (703 nucleotides) under uncultured fungus. Its description in RNAcentral is "SSU rRNA". It matches the Rfam family "Eukaryotic small subunit ribosomal RNA", at positions 392 to 1096 of the family's 1831-position model. The record is from RNAcentral. Lineage: Eukaryota; Fungi.
GAGCCUGAGAAACGGCUACCACAUCNNNGGAUGGCAGCAGGCGCGCAAAUUACCCAAUCCCGACACGGGGAGGUAGUGACAAUAAAUAACAAUACGGGGUUCUUUCGGAUCUCGUAAUUGGAAUGAGUACAAUUUAAAUCUCUUAACGAGGAACAAUUGGAGGGCAAGUCUGGUGCCAGCAGCCGCGGUAAUUCCAGCUCCAAUAGCGUAUANNNAAGUUGUUGCAGUUAAAAAGCUCGUAGUUGAAUUUCGGGGUUAGUAGGUUGGUCAUGCCUCUGGUAUGUACUGGUCUCACUGAUUCCUCCUUCCUUAUGAACCGUAAUGCCAUUAAUUUGGUGUUGCGGGGAAUUUGGACUGUUACUUUGAAAAAAUUAGAGUGUUUAAAGCAAGCUAACGCUUGAAUACAUUAGCAUGGAAUAAUGAAAUAGGACGUUCGAUCUUAUUUUGUUGGUUUCUAGGAUUGACGUAAUGAUUAAUAGGGAUAGUUGGGGGCAUUAGUAUUCGAUUGUCAGAGGUGAAAUUCUUGGAUUUAUUGAAGACUAACUACUGCGAAAGCAUUUGCCAAGGAUGUUUUCAUUAAUCAAGAACGAAAGUUAGGGGAUCGAAGACGAUCAGAUACCGUCGUAGUCUUAACCAUAAACUAUGCCGACUAGGGAUCGGAUGAUGUUAAUUUUUUAAUGACUCAUUCGGCGCCUUACGGGAA